Molecule: long non-coding RNA, 7076 nt
Filed under: Xyrichtys novacula (pearly razorfish)
Lineage: Eukaryota; Metazoa; Chordata; Actinopteri; Labriformes; Labridae
Source: RNAcentral
UGGGGUGGGGGUUUAGAGUUCAGUGGGGGUCUGGGGAGGAAUCUGUCUUUAAAUCUGUUUGUCUCUGAUCUGUUGUGUUACCAUUGUGUUCAACAAAUUAAAUCUGCAACAUGAUAGAUAGAUAGAUAGAUAGAUAGAUAGAUAGAUAGAUAGAUAGAUAGAUAGAUAGAUAGAUAGACUUUAUUGAUGAGCGGUCCUUCACUCUAACAUUUACCAUGCUGAAGGCACAGGAGAUGAUUUGAUGUAUUGAGCAGAGAGGCUUGAUAUACUUAAUACACUUAUGUAUUUGCUGAACAAUACCUCAGUAAUGCAGAUAGUGAUUUUACAAAGUUAAAUUCUGCUGUGACUAUUAUUCCUCAGAAUCAACAAGUUUAACUUUAACUGAUAAAGGUAAAGCAUCAUAUCUGUUAUGGACGGUAUUUUGUAAUAUUGCCUGUCAGAGAUAACUGGUAAGUUAAGAUGUAAAAAGGGUUCCUGUUAAAGUCUCUGUAUAUAUAAAAUGUACAAUACACAAACACAGAUAGCAUAAAAGAAAGCACAUGAGCCCAUUAACACUUGAGAUGAUAAAAGGUUAUAAAUAAGACUAUAAGCUUGAGUAUAAAUUAGAGUGUUGCCACAGUGUUGUAUAAGAUCUGAUCUAGAGUCAUGAACAAAUAUAAACAGGACAGGGGUGAAAAGUUAUGAUCCGAAGUAGAUAUUUUUUUAUGUUUGUGUGGAGAUUGCUGUUCACAAAACUAUGCUUUAAUGCUUUAAAUAAUCCCAAAAUAUCACUAAUCUAUUUGGAUUUUGUGGAAUUUCCCUGUUUGAUUCCUCUUUUCCAACAAAAUCAAUGAGUGCUAAUCUGCUUUAAAACAAUCUGUUUUAUUCUGUGUGUGUGUGUGUGUGUGUGUGUGUGUGUGUGUGUGUGUGUGUGUGUGUGUGUGUGUGUGUGUGUGUGUGUGUGUGUGUGCUGGGCUGAAAGAGGGGUCAUCCCAGGUUCCUGUUACUUUCUCUUAUUGUUUUCACAGGAGCAGUUGCCGUUGAUUGUUGCCACAGAAACGGGCAGCCAAUAACACGGUCCGAUCAGCAGGGUGUGGGGGUCAGGCCACCUCGAGCCACAGGAAGAACAAUACCUCCAGCUCCUCCCACUGUGCUGCCUCGCGUGUUUUUGGGUGUCUGUGGGUGGGCAUGUGUCCGCUUGGCUUUGUGGGUCACAUCUGAAGUACUUAGUGAAGCGUUGAGUUGUGUUUGAUGUUUUUUUCCUCUCUUGAUAUUCGGCCCCUCCACUUCUUCUUCAUCAUCACUCUGACUGAAAAUCACAGUGCUUCAAAAUCAAGUUCAAGUUGACUGAGAGGUUUGUUUUCGAAUAGAGUUACUAUAGAAAUCUCCAGGGGUUUAAAUUUCACUUUCAGGUGUAACAACAGAAUCAAACAGGGUUUGCAUUCCUAGUUUUGACUCAGUUAAUCAUCGUUUGGUCUCUUAAAGUUGGAAUUUGCAUUCAGGGAAAAUAGCACCAGACAACAAAUAAGUAACUGUAUUCAAGACAGAUCAUAAAAUUUUGAAAAAUUCAUUCAAGCAAUGAUGCCAGAAAAGAAUCUGUCUAUAUAAGGAUUUUUUUCCAAUUGUAUUUUGACUAUGCCAAAGGAUUUUUGUUCUCUGCAAGUCAGUUUUUUCUUUUCUAUGCAUUUAUGAAGUAAAAUGUGUCAUUUUCCUCUCCUCUUCAUUGAUCUUAUAACUUAUAAGAUUGGGUCAUUUGAUGAUUUUGACUGAUAAUACCAAAUACAACUAACAACCUUAGAUUUAAGUAAUAAAAUCAACGUCCUUAUCUCUUUACUUGAUGUCCAAACAGGAUCAAAACAAAUUAUCUGUUACCUUGAUGGCUUUGCGGAGAGAUUUCACAUUAUAGGCUCAGAUUUGCUACCUAGCUCUCUGCUACCUAGCUCUCUAUUCUGCUCAGGGGAAGCUAUGAUAACAAGGCGCUGGGCUGACUGACUGCUGCAAAUGUCAGAUGGAAAAGCGCAGACUAAUGAAGAGGUGGAAAAACACCAAUACUAACAUGGUGAGUGCUCCAGGAGAACAUGAGAGAGUACACUAAACAUAAAAUCCACAAUCUAACCUGCAACAGGAGGAGUCGACUGUUGAAGUGUUGUUGCCAUGGUCACAUCAGUAUGUCUUUGAGUGUUAUGGUAUGUUUUAUUCCUACUAUUACUACUAUUUUUUCUUUCAGUGCUGGUUGUAAAGACAGUCCUGAGUGAAGUGGUUGGCAUCUAAAAAAUUAUAAUACAAAGGGCUUUUAUAGAAUCUGGGUUUGCAGACAGAGCAGUUGUUACGUUUGGCUCAAGCAUUUUUCAUCUUGGCUCUGUGAAAACAAAUCAAAAUCACAACUUUUGCUACUACAAACAAAAUUGAUGUUAAUAAUUAAACUUUAACUUCAGAAAAAGAUGCUUUGAAAAGAUAAGAUAAUGAAUUUGAUCAUUUUUUAAUGCCAUGUUUUGUCGCCCGGUCACCAGAUCUUGACACGUUAGUCAAACAUGAACUUUGCAGGAUCAAGACUAAUCUGGUCCAAGGUUUCUCACGUUUAAGGAGCUCAAGUUACUGAAGACGGGUUCCUGCAUUCAUGAGCUCUCCAUUUCCCAGAAUCAGUCUAACGAUCAGUGUUUUUAAUCAUAUUGAACCCACAUCGUUUCUACCUCCCAGCUUCCAUGAGAAAAUAUAAAGUCCCUCGCAACAGAAAAGAAAAGCGAGAUAGGUGUAGUGUUCUGUGGUUGAUGGUCUGAAGCCAAAAGCAUGACUCAGUGAGCGGCUAGAUCAAAGUAAAGGUUUAAGUUUUCUCAGGAAUGAGUAUCAGGAACAGAAGCCAAGGAGCAGACUGCACAAAAGAUCAUCAGGCAGAGGCAGGAUGAAAGUCGGCCGCUGCUCAUACUGCAGGGCUAUUGAGAAAAAUGCAUAGGUGUGGAGCACGGGUUGGCUGGAGAAGUCAGGUGAUAUAGAGUGAUGGGAACAGGAGUUUCUUCAGAAGCAGGGCAGGAGGGAGUGUCAGGUUCAGUAGGGACAAGAGGAUCGAGAAUAGCUGGAGGAUUAUGUUGUUUAAAUAAUUAAUCGUGUAUUGGUAUAAAACAAAUGUAGCACUGGCUCAAAUGAAGCACUGGCUCCUGUUUGAACAGAAGAAAUGUAAAAGCUCCUGUGCCAAACUUAUAGUAAAUUUUGUAAAAAAAAAUAAAAAAGUUGCUUAAUUUAAAACUUUCUGCCAACUUUAAACAUCACCAAGUGAUUUUAAAUCUGAAAUUUUCACUAAACACCAACAAGUUGAGAUGUAAAAUUUGGACCUGCAGACUCCAAAAUUAUUAUCUUGAAUUCAGAAGCAAAUUUUUCUUGUUUGAACUAAUAAUACUAAAAACUAAGACUGGCUGCUUAGGCAUGUGAGCAGUUAACAUAGAAAAAAAUAACUUCUGUAGUACCUGUACAGUGUCUUGCAACAAGCUCAGACCCUAAUGAUAUCUUUUAUAAUGAUAACUUUGUUUAAUUAGCUUAUUUAGGAUUUAGCUAGCAAAAGCAUAAAAAAGAGGAAAAAAAAGUUAAAAAUGAAAACCAAAAAAAAACACAUGAAACACAAGCUAUGAAACAAUCCAAACAGUACAGAAAAGAUCUCUCUAUAAUGAAAAUCUGAACAACAGGAUUUACCCAGACAGCCAAGGCUUUUGUGCCUACUAAACCGUUCUGUCAUCUUGAUUGUAGAAAAUCUUGCAGUGCCAUAUACGAACUUUUUUCAGGGAUUAGGCCAUGAGUAUAAAUGCUCUUUCACCUGAAAGUGGUCUACUUUCAUCCGCAUGAACUGUACGUCUGUUGACAUGAACUGAAAGGCAAACUAACCUUGCGUAAAGUCUAAAGCCUCCAUAAUGAGUUUGCACCUGUUCCAUUUAUCAGGAUAACACAGGAUCAUGUUGUCAGAGGGUUAUCUGCUGUUAGUGGGAUUAUGCCUUCCCAUAAAGGCCUGAAACCUCAAAAGGCUUUAGAGGAAGUUGUUCUAAUACUCUGAAUGGAUGAGUCAAAGACUGUUGUUUUUACAGGUGUUUGUUUAGUUUGUGAAGCAUAAACGCUUCCUCCCAGCGGAGAAUAGGAAACAAGAUGAGGCGUGCAGUCUCUCUGGAGGGGACAUACAUACCUGAAAAUGACUCAGAUGAGAUGAUGAUUAUUGACUAAAAUGUGUUUUCUUUUAGGAAUCUCUUCCUCUUAUUAUGGUAUUACAGGCUUUAGUGUCAGUUUGAGGGUCUUGACAGGACAACAUCCCAGACUGUACAGUGUGAAAUUAAAGGGGUGUUCCAGUAAUUUUACACAUCAAAGUCAUUUGUCACAGACAUCAGGGUGCUGUUAUGGCAGUGAAAGUCAGCUAAUGAAAGACGACUAUAAAUGAGCAGUUUUUCAUUCAAAUGAUGUAUAGGUUGGCCUGGGGAUGGGUCAAUAUAGCCUGAUACUUAAUACCGAAAAUGUUUGUCAAUGAGCUAGAAAAAAUGAACAUAGCCAUUGAACAAACGUUUACAUAAAGUAUUAUGCAGCAUGCACUGGAGUUUGGAGAGCUGUCUGACUCUGUAUUUCGGCUGAGGUGAAUGUUUUGCAGUACCGAGCCAAGGUAUGGUAGUUGACAUCAAAGUCCUUUAUUGUCCUCCAGAUUGAUUUAUUAGCUAGGAUCACCUGUCUGACUGCCCUCAGCAUCAUGUCAGCUACUGCUCUGCCAUGUUCUGUUUUUCUUUUGUAAUUCCUGACCAUGUCUUCUCACUUUCUUCUCUCCCUAAACCACUCUUUUCUGCUGAUAAACAGACUCUCUAUGUUAAUUUUAAUCCCUUUUAAACAUGUGACAAUUAACCCCAAAAUGACUGAGACAUGUUGCCCCAAACUACCAUGUUUGCUAAUUCUCGCUCUAACAGAACAAUGACUGAGGUAUGACAGGAUGCCUUAAUUUCUCCUCUAACAAGUCCACAUGUAUCACUCCUAGGAUUUUUAUCUGGAAGAAGCUUAUUUUAAAAUGUAUAAAGUCAUUUUUUUUACUCUGGGUUGUGCGAAAUGGUUAAUUGAUAAUCAUCUCAGCUCACAAUGUGCUCUUCUCUUCUCAGACAGGACAUGACCCCUGAUCAUAUAAAGGAAUAAAACUAGCAUUCCACUUUAUAGUUGCGCCCUCUGGUGGCAAAGAUAAUUGCAGUGUGACAACUUACCCAUGUGACAACAAGCCCCGGUCUCCCCUACUAUUCAUGCUUUUGUUCAUAAAUUACUGAAGUACUACCUCUGUGUCACCUGUGAGGGAAAAUUUGCUGAACAGUUGAACUGGCUUAGUAGUUUGAGUGACGACCCGCUGCCUAAAGGUGAAUUCCACUGAAAACACCCACUCAUGAUUGAGGCAAGAAUCACACACACCCUGAUUUGACGAUGAAACAUGUAACCGAUGCUGACAUUUAUUACUGAACAAUUUCUGUGUGACUCAAUCAGUCUUCUGAUCUGGAUGUUUAACUGUAUCAAAUGUAAGUUAUGUGUGAAGAGUACAGUGCCACCUGGGGGCAGUACGUGUGCUUUUACUACAGAGAUUUCUGCAUAUACUCAUUUACUCUGUAUGUGUUGAGCUAUUCACACAGUCUCUCACACCUAGUGAUGCCACUUACUUACCUGUUGCAAAUUAAGCUAACUAGUUCAAAGAUGCCUUUUUUUUUGCAUCGUGCAACAUUUUCUACAGCAUCCCAACUUUUUAGUAAAAGUGGUUUCUACUGUUCAAAGGACUGAACCUCCAAGCUAGAGGAUCAAGUCAUCCGUCUUUUACUUUCCUGUAAUAUAAAUUCCCACUACAAACCAAAGAGUGUUGAGGGGCUUUCUCUGAUUGCUUGCAAGAAAACAGGCAGUUAUCAUCAUUUCUGCUCGAAGCACAGAUGGCGCCAGGGAUUUGUGAUUGUAAAGUCAGUAUAAUUAGGAAUAAUCAUUUGGGUAUCUCACUUCCUAACAGCCCCAUGCAAAAAACUCCACUUUUCAAGAGGAACGAGGUUAAGAGGCCCACCCACAGUCUGAUUUAUAGCACCACCUCCUAGUCUAAACUGAUCCUGGAGAACAUAAUCCUGCUGGUGGAUCUUUCAUUUGAUCAAAGCUUGAAUGUGCCAGAAGAUAAAAGAAGUCAACCCAGAUGAUGAGGUGGCAGCUGAAGCUUACAACACUGACUAUCGGAUGGUAUCCUCAUUUCCUCUCUCACUCUCCACCUUUAACCCCUAACUACUUCCUCUUCCCUGGAAUGUGUCCUUGAGCUCUGGAGAAGAAGUUGGUAAAACAAUAUGCCCACAAAAUUCCCCAUUUGUGUGUUCAAAGAGAGCGCACUUCCGUUAAAAGGUAGAAAUCUCUCUCCAGUUGUCUUUUUUAACAUGUCUGUCUGAGGGGACAAAGAUCAGCAGGUCAGAGGUUAAGGGGGUCGAGAGCAGACAGGAAAGCAUAAAAAACACAUCUGUGCUUGCACUUGUUCAAGGAUCACACACACAAGCACACGUGCACGCACAGCUGGAUCAUGGCAGCCUUAACUAUUUAUAAAUGGCUGCUAAUGCAGCUGGCUGCUGUCACUGAGAAAGUAAUUAGAGACUGCUGCAGGAAAUAGGAGGAACAAGCCCUAUCCUGGGAUGCCAUGCACAAUCACUCCACUUGUGUGUAUGAAAAAAGAGUCUUUCAUUGUGGGUGUGCUUGAACCUGGGAGCAUGUCAGAGGACAGGAAGGCUAAGACAAGAUUGUAAUUGGCCAGCAAAGGUUUAUCCUGGCACAGAGUCAUAAAUAGUGAAAACCUCAAAUUUAUCGAGCAGAUUAGAUUUGUAUUUAACCACUCAGGGACUUCAAGAACUGACUUUUUUUCCCAUCAUAUUGUGAAAGGGUUGCUAUCUCUAUAGGUAUUGCCAUACUGUCGAACCCCUCUCUUAAAACAUUCAUUUGAUCACAAAAAUGUAAGCUGCAUCAGAACACACAUUCUUGGUUUGAAACUUAUUACUUGAGUUACUUUAAAUGCUGCAAGGUGAUAAAAAUAUAUAACUGCACAGUUGGAGAUAUCUUGCACUGAGACAAUAAUAUAUGUCAAAGACAGUUUUUAC